Molecule: long non-coding RNA, 1475 nt
Organism: Carya illinoinensis
Lineage: Eukaryota; Viridiplantae; Streptophyta; Magnoliopsida; Fagales; Juglandaceae
Exons: 2
Source: RefSeq, a predicted model, not a curated record
AUUUUUUUUUAUUUUUUAUUUUUUUAUCAGCAAAGCAGAAUUUUAUUGAUGAUAUUGUGAGGGCUUAGAUUCUUCAAUGCGAGUGUUUAUUUAGAGUGGGCUUUUGCUGUGCUUUUAAGAGAGUAAAGUUCGGUGGAUUUCAGGCCCAACCCAUAGAAAGCCCAUCCCCUGAAAACCCACCCAAAAACUUCGUCGUUUUGAGGAAUGGAAGUGAAUCAACCCUAUUCCUCCCUCCCGUUCCAGAUGCGCCGCACGAAGGCUCCACUCCAACUUCUUCUUUCUUUUUUUUUUCAGUCCACCACCACGCUGACUCCACUAGUCGGCAUGGUUCCCGUCUCCCUGCCACCGUCUGAGCCACCACCAGUUGCCCCUGUCGCUGCGAGUCUGCUGUACCCUUCGCGAGCUUCCUCUCAACUCGUGAGCACCGAUGGCCACCGCGAGCUACACUCACACGUUACGGCCUCGCGUCCCUCCCCCGUGACCUGCGCUCCACCAGGCGUGCCGGAUGGCCGCCGUGGGUGGGUCUCGUCGUUAUGGGUCUCUCGGCCUAUAAGGGGCCGAGCUCCUCCCCUUUUGUUUUCACCUCAAAAAUCACAUUUUCUCCUCUUAUUAUCUACUCUAUCGUGUUCCCCAGCCUCAAAACCCCCUUCCCGUGACAUUUAGGAAGUUUCCCGUCCAGCGCCACCGUGCACCGCCGCGCACCUCCCCUCCCAGCCGUGUUCCAGUCGCUGCUCAACCACAUGCUCACCUUCCCCUUCCCAUUCCCAACACCCUCUUCCCACGAAACGGCCCAACCCGUGAGCUAGGCUCACAUGUAGCCACUGGCCCGCCAUGCUCUGCCGUGCCCGGCCGUGAAGAACCCCUCCUCCACCCACUGCCACCACAUUCUGGCUUUCCCCUAAUUUCUCCGGUUGUAAACCUCGCCGUACAGACCAGAUCCGCCUAUGUCUGUGCAUAGCAGCUGCUGCCACCGUGCCCUGCCCCUUUUGACGCCGCCACUCGUCGCGCUUUCUCGCAAAGAGUUCCGGAAGUGCGGAGCUCUUAGUUUCGUCGCUCGCUUGAUCAUCCAGAUAUUCCUUUCAGCAUAAAUCGAAGAAAACGGUAACGCUCUCGAGUCAUCUCUGUAGCCCCUCUGCUGGCAGGAGCUAGAGGAUGCCUAGUCACGAUACACGUUAGGCGUGAAACUAUCGUUCGUUACAAAGUCACAAAUACGGUCGUUACUCGUGGUUUGAUGAAGCUAGUCAGGAUGUGUGAAUGUGCUGAUGGGAGACCAUGGUGUACAUGUAAUAAGUGGUUGUGGUUGGGCCAAUGAGAUUUUUGGCAUGUGUGGUUCUGGUGAAAUGUGUUUUUAUGGAAAAAGAACGUUAGAAAAUGGAUAUUGUGGUCUUUUGCAUGUAUGGUUGUUUUGUACCUUGGUCUCAAAAGUGUUUCGAAUUUAUCAUAUAUAUGAAUCUUUGCUAUCUCUUUCAAAGUUA